Molecule: ribosomal RNA, 450 nt
Filed under: uncultured bacterium
Lineage: Bacteria
Description: bacterial SSU rRNA
Rfam family: Bacterial small subunit ribosomal RNA
Source: RNAcentral
GUGGGGAAUAUUGGACAAUGGGCGAAAGCCUGAUCCAGCCAUGCCGCGUGUGUGAAGAAGGUCUUCGGAUUGUAAAGCACUUUAAGUUGGGAGGAAGGGCAGUAAGUUAAUACCUUGCUGUUUUGACGUUACCGACAGAAUAAGCACCGGCUAACUUCGUGCCAGCAGCCGCGGUAAUACGAAGGGUGCAAGCGUUAAUCGGAAUUACUGGGCGUAAAGCGCGCGUAGGUGGUUUUGUAAGUUGGAGGUGAAAUCCCCGGGCUCAACCUGGGAACUGACUCCAAAACUGCAUGACUAGAGUACGGUAGAGGGUAGUGGAAUUUCCUGUGUAGCGGUGAAAUGCGUAGAUAUAGGAAGGAACACCAGUGGCGAAGGCGACUACCUGGACUGAUACUGACACUGAGGUGCGAAAGCGUGGGGAGCAAACAGGAGUAGAUACCCUUGUAGUCC